UACGUAGGUGGCAAGCGUUGUCCGGAUUUACUGGGCGUAAAGAGCGCGCAGGCGGUCGUGCAAGUCGCGUGUGAAAGCCCCCGGCUCAACUGGGGAGGGUCACGCGAUACUGCUCGACUCGAAGGCAGGAGAGGGAAGUGGAAUUCCCGGUGUAGUGGUGAAAUGCGUAGAUAUCUGGAGGAACACCGGUGGCGAAGGCGGCAUCCUGGACCGGCAUUGACGCUGAGGCGCGAAAGCCAGGGGAGCAAACGGG
RNAcentral lists this ribosomal RNA (253 nucleotides) under uncultured bacterium. Its description in RNAcentral is "partial 16S ribosomal RNA". It matches the Rfam family "Bacterial small subunit ribosomal RNA", at positions 524 to 776 of the family's 1533-position model. The record is from RNAcentral.